This 1915-nucleotide long non-coding RNA is filed under the name Macaca mulatta (Rhesus monkey). RNAcentral's name for it is "lncRNA (ENSMMUG00000052268.1)". The record is from RNAcentral. Lineage: Eukaryota; Metazoa; Chordata; Mammalia; Primates; Cercopithecidae.
GUUGAAGUAGGAAACAGCAGUGCAAAGAGAUGGGGUGUGGAUGGCAGCUGUGGCUCCUCUUGUCCCUGUGAGUUUCUCAGCUCCGUGCCCAAGCUCCCUGCUCUUGGCAGGCCGCGCGGCGUGGGUCGACUGCCAGUGUGGAGGAAUGCUGAACUGUGUGCUCACUGCCUUUUAUAUUUCCAGCCACAUCAGCCCCAGAAACAGCAGAGACAACCAUAGAAGGCAACGCUUCUCCUCGCAUCUACAACUGUAGGAACUGGCAUCUGUACAGAAUUGAGGGGCCUGGCCAGAGGCUGUAACUGCUGUAACUGAAAAAACUGCUCUAACUCCUGCGAGCUCACUGGCUAGGAUUCCCCAGCAUUGAUGGCAAGUGGUUCUGGAUCUCUCCAGCAUCUCACAAUGCUCUUUUAAUUUCCACCUGCUGAUCAGGAGGUCUAAGAGAAGGAAGCAAAUCUGAGAACAGAACUAUCACUGGAACACAUUCUGAAUGUUACCCUCAGUUCCAGUUAUCUUUUGCAGUGUAAUAAACCACCCCAAACUGCAGGGCCUAAAACAACCAUUCUCUUUGUCUGACAGGUUAUGUGGGUCAGAUUUUGGCUGGGACAUGGCAAGGACAGCUCGUAUCUGUUGCACAACGUCUGAUCCUUAGCUGAACAGCUGGGGAUGAUUUAAAUGUCUGGGGCUGGCAUGUGGGCUGAGAUGACUUGAUGGCUUGGCUUAGCUGGGCUUCUCCAUGUGGCUUGGGCUUCCUUAUAGCAUGGCGGGCUCAGGAUAGUCAGACAUCUCACCAGAUAGCUGCGGAUUACUACAGCAAGUCUCCACCAGACAAGGCAGAAUCUGCAUGAUAUUUUAUGAUCUGCUUUGAAAUUGCUCAUUUUAUUAUUUUUAAAAGGAAAAAACAUAUUCCAAUACAGAUUGGUAUUAAAUGAAAGUAAUUUUAUCUCCUCCUCCAUCCUUCUGUACACAAUUUCUUGAAUAUUCUCCCCUAAGCAUGAUUAUGCUUAAAUAAGCACAUAUGAUGAACUCACUUCUGGAAUGGUGGGGUGAGGCGCUCCGUGGACAUGUUCCCUAGCAGAACAACCAUAGCUAAUUAAAAUUAUGUUGUAAAAGUUCAACCAUUUAAAACUUCUGGAUGUUGUCUUAAGAGCAUUACAUGAAUUAACAAAUAAUUUUUUUUGUUUGUUUUUGUUUUUUUUGAGAUGGAGUCUCGCUCUGUCGCCAGGCUGGAGUGCAGUGGCGCGAUCUCGGCUCACUGCAAGCUCCGCCUCCUGGGUUCAAGCCAUUCUCCUGCCUCAGCCUCCUGAGUAGCUGGGACUACAGGCGCCCGCCACCAUGCCCGGCUAAUUUUCUGUAUUUUUUAAUAGAGAUGGGGUUUCACCGUGGUCUCGAUCUCCUGACCUUGUGAUCCGCCCGCCUCGGCCUCCCAAAGUGCUGGGAUUACAGGCGUGAGCCACCGUGCCCGGCCAAAUCAUUUUUUCAAGAAACUCUACUAAAUCUCUGUAAGAAGAGCGAGGGUCUGUGGAACUUAAGCCACAACCUGCUCUCCCCACCAGCUCAUCAUGAUAGCAGGUGUGUGUGCCCAAGACAUGGGGCUUCCUCUCCCACCAGCUCUCAGUCAGGGGCUACAGUACCUAUCCAGGAGGGGCAGGCCACCAGCAUUUCACAUCUUUCCAAGUUCUGUGUUGAAUAGGUUAAAUUCUAUAUGAGUGUGGCUGAGGUCAGGGGCUCCCUUCCUCCAUACAGCUCUUAUUCAUAGAGUGGAAGCUCUACCCCAGAUGUGGCAGGCUAAGAAUACUGUGGCCCCAGUUGCUUUUGCCCAGCUCACUCACUGGGUAGAAGUUUCAUGCUGGGGGAGGCAAGGCAAACAGAUCAGAGAAGCUACUUUCCCUGCCCAGUAUGCUGCUCAUAAAGAUGG